UCAUCCAUACUUGUAUAGUGGGCUAAUGCUCCAUGGAUUAUCAAGUUGGGCUAAAACCCAUAGGAUGCUCCAUGGAUGCUCCAUGGUGUUUUUGUACCCAUAGAUCAUGGAAAUGAAAGGCCAUGACAAUUAGGGUUUACAUGGUGUAACCCUAAUUGUGACACACUAUAUAAGCAUCUUAUUCUUGUCAAAAUCAACCACCAUGAGAGACUAUGAAGGAAUGGUGAGGGCUAGCCGAUUUCAUGAAGUGUAUCAUUUCUUUCUAAGUUAUUCUAUGUGUAUUUGAUGUUGUGUGAACCAUUUGAGGUGUCACACUUGGGGCACUAGGCUCUCGAGCUUCAUGGAGUUAAGCUAUAUCAACAAGGUAUGUAUUUCUAUCUAGUUUAUUAUUCAAGUAUCAAAAGAUCGUAUGCUAGUUAGGGUANAUACCUUGGAUAUUCAUAUUUGCAUGUAUAAUAGAGAAAACAUAGAUCCAAGGUAUUUAGGGUUGCAUGUACACUUAGGAGUGUUGGAAUGCUCAAAACCCAACAGUGGUAUCAGAGCCUAGGCUUGUUUUCUAGUUAUACUUGAAAAAUCUGCUUAAAAACCGAAGUUUUUUUGCUGUCUGGACAGCUGACUCGGAGAGUCCGUCAGGUGACUCGACGAGUCCAUGCCUUAAAAGUGUUCAAAAUGAUCCAACUCGUCAAGUUGGUUCAUGCACUCGACGAGUUGGACCCCCAGACAGCAUAUUUUCGUCUGUUUUGGCUGGAAAUGGACUAGGAACAUUACCCUAAGCUGUUCUUCAACUUAUAAACCUGUUUUUGAUGUGGUAAUGUUCAUGUUAAUCCAAUUUCAAAGAUAAUUGUCAAUUGAAUCAUGUUUUGUAUUAGUUUAAGGUUUAGGCUAAUUACAUGAAAAAUUUUGAUUUGAAUUAUCUUGUUCUUGUAAGUUGCUUAGAUUACUAGGAAAAGUUAUAUGAAAUUGUUGUUUUCAAUCCAAAUUAAACUAAGAGUUGAUUCUAAAAUGUGUUUUUGUAACUUGUCCUCAAAUUAUAUGAAAAGUCACAUUUAAGGUUCAUAAAACUCAUAAAUAUUUCCAUAGGUUAUGAAUAAAGAAAAGUCACAUUCUUUUAAUAGUUUAAAUUCUUCCAUAACUUGUCCUCAAGUUAUGGAACAUGAAGAGUUUUUGGAUUAAAACUACUAUAAACACAUAAGUUAUGGAAAAUGAAUAGUUUUGAAUAGUUUCAAAACUUGCCCUCAAGUUUUGGAAUUUGAAAAGUUUUCCCUUAUGAAUACUUUAAUUCCAAGUUAAGCCCUUAGAAUUUUAAAAGUUAAAAUUCAAUCCUUAUACUUUAUAAUAUUAUAAAUUAAUAAUAUUUAUAUAUAUNNNNNNNNNNNNNNNNNNNNNNNNNNNNNNNNNNNNNNNNNNNNNNNNNNNNNNNNNNNNNNNNNNNNCUAUAAAAUGGCAGUUUAAUGAGUGUCCACUCUCACCCACCGUUUCCUUGACUGGUGGAGGGCCGUUAGCCGAACAGGUAGGACAAGGACUAUAAUUCUCCAUUCAUUAAAAGUAUUAAUGAUAAAUAUAAAGUAACUAAAAUGUUUUAUAAUUCCCAAUCUUAGUUACUUUAGGAAAAAUGUGAAUAAGGUGCUAAUCCAUGAAAUUGCACUUUGCACUUUGCUUAAGUCGGUUAGUGGAGCGUGUGUGGUUAACCGGCACACUAGCUUGAUUUAACAAGGUAGGCAAAGGGUAACUUAAUAUUUAUCAUAGCAUCGGUGGAGCGCGUGUGGUUAACCGACACAUCGAUUAAGGGGUAAAUAUUAAGGGUACCAAGUAAUUUGCAUGGUUACUUCACACCUUGUUUUGUGAUCAUCGACAUCCCAGUCAGAAAACCUGAAGAGCACAAUCGAGAUUGAAACAUGCCAUUGAACAAUUCAAUGAAUCUCAAAAUAUCUAGGAGUUUCAAAUCCAAGUAAAACCUAAUUAAAUUAUUUCGUUUUCAUGGUGGAAAUUGGUGAAUAUUCAGAUAUUCUUUAGCUUGGAUUACGGCAUCCCUCUUCCAAGUUAUAAAAUAUUGUGUUGGGUCCUAGCCUUAAUAUUUCAUAUUGAGUGCUAUAUUAAGGACUUUAGAUCAACUAUCUUGAAUAUCUCCCAAAAGAUGUCUAGUUUAGACAUCUAUGAUCAUCCCAAAUAUCUUGGAACUUCACUUCCUCCACCUCCUCCAAUUAUUCUCCCUAACCCACAAGUUCAAGGUCACUCAAACCCUAUUGGCAAGCAAGGUCUAUGUGUGAUCGCAUCUUGGAGAUGAAGUCACAUAUUGACAAGCCGGGAGAGUUGGGUGUCAAAGUCUUAAGAAAGUUGAAUGUUCAAUCGUUUUCUGAGUCACAUAGUGAGUUACUUUGGGACUACUAUGAAACAAACUAUGACAUGACCCUUAAUUAUCUUAUCUAUUUGCUUGGUGCUGCUGAAUCAGCAAUGAUUUGAGGACUAGUAAAGCAAGUUUGAUUAGGAGAUCAACUUCCCAAUGGACAUUGACAAUGGAAACAUUGGAUAUCUAGAAAAGCCUUCUCUUCCCAAGGAAAGGGAUUGACCAUAGUCAACUCAGUUGACCAAAUGGUAAAGAGAAAGGCAAGUCUAAGAUAGUCCAGUGCACCAUUCCCAAAGAGUCCAUUUGUUUUGCCAAAGGAAGGGGCAUUGAUUGCGAAGCUGCCUAUUUACCUGAAAGGUCAUAAGGUUGAUCAAGUCAAGAAGUUUGACUAUACUUCAGGUAAAGCCCACUAUCUAACUCUGUUAAGUUUCUAUUCUGAGAUUCUUAUUACAUGAUGUGACUGGGUCACAUGUUGAUGUUUGAAGAAUCAAAGAAAAAGUGAAGGAAACUUAAAGAAAGAGUAUGUUGAAUCUGACCGUGAAUAUGGAUUUCUGUUACUUGAUUGACGAUCGGAUUCUUGAGCUACUCUUAGGAGUUAUGAUAGAUUGCCAGGAACAUUGAAUAUCAUAGUUUUCAUUUAAAGUUGCAUUGUAAGGAAUUUUUUCCGCAUUUUAUGAAUAAAUAAAAGUUUGUUUUACUUUAUUUUAUAUCUCCUUGCAAUGGCAUUUAUGAAAACUUGAUGUUUGUAUGUUUCUAGCAAUAUUGGAAAUAUGAAUUUGAUCCUUUCAUUUGUGGUAGUGUCUAAAUUUACCAAAUAAGGAAAACUUCUCAUCACCCAAGAUUUCAGUUGGAUAGAAACUUGGAAUCAUACAAGUUGUACAGUAUGAUGAAUGAGAACUAUCAGCUUUCGAAAAUUUAAGACUCGUUCCUUAUUCACAUGUAUAUGUAAGUCAAGUGAAGGACUAAGGGAUCGAGUACACAUUCUUGUGCACUGGUCAAGUCCACCACAAAAGAUCGAUAAGACUAUUCGUCAUGAUUUACUAAAGUUUAGUAAAUAUGGUUAUACUUACAGGCUUAAGUAUAAUUCUGAAGCAUUUGAAAAUUUUCAAUGUAUGGCAGGACAGAUGAAAAGAAUCGAAUUAGGCAGAAAGAUAAAAGUUUCUCAAAUCUAAAAAGAUGGGAGAGUACUUUAAUAUCAGGUUUUGUGAUCAUCUUAAUGAUUUAGAAAUCAUAUCACAAUUAGUCCUCUAAGGAAAUCUUAGUGCAUUCUUAUGACUAAGAAGAGGAAUCUUAAAUUGUUGGAAUGGUUAAAUCAAGAAGAUGGGUCAUACUUCGUUCCAAAACAAGUCUUAGAGUCAUACUCCAAGAUUGUAAGUUAAGUGACAUAUCUUAAAGAAGGUUUAAAACACUUGUCAAAUGUAAGAGUAAAAGUGUCCUACUCUUGUACAUUUGAAAUGUGUAAGUUGUGAUGUUUUGGAUAAAACAAAGACCAACUUAGGCCAAUUGUGUGAAGUGUUUGUCUUGAUGAAGAAUCCACACUAUCUCUUGAAUAUUUGGCAAGAUAGCCUUAUAUGUCAAAAGGACCGUGGGAGUCUUAAAGAUCCUGAAAAGAAUUUCAAGAUCUAAUCAAGAAUAAAAACUUGUAGUUUAACACUAGCACACAAUGUGAGGUUUAUAACCUAUCGUGUUGACAUAUUUCUAUUUCUGUGCCCAUUCCAGGUAAAGUUGGCUUUGCAUAUGAGUUCUUAGUGUUCUCAAUUGGUUGCAUAACAACUUGGAAGCAAUGGCAGGCCCUUGAGCUGCCAGGUGGCAAUAAAUUCAAAUUGAGUUCAGUCCAUAUGAGUUUGGAUUUGUCAUUAUCCUUCUCUUGUGAUUAUGGUUUUGACAAAUCCACAUGGAUAGGAACACAUACACCAUAAAAUCUAAGUUUCAUAAGGUUUCUCUCUGAUUCAACAAAAUGAUGGUGAGGAAACACUUUCACUAAGUAGAUUUGAAGUAGAUAGCAAUUGUGAUAUUUUCAUUCUCAAAGUCAUUUGUGGAGCGCGUGUGGUUAACCGGCACACUAACUUAGACUUGUGAGAAAUGGCAAAGGUCUAAACAAUUGAGACUAUGAUUACGACAUCCCUUUUCAUAGUUCUGAAAUUGUUUAGACACACAUGCGUGCUAUCUAAGGAAAGGUGUAUAAUUUUGAUAAAGCUUAUAAAAAAAUCUUGUAUCAAAAGUCUGAACUUUGGUAAGGAAGUCAAUAAAGUAUUGAUUUCUAGAAGUCCAGCUGAUUUCUGAGUACAUGUCAAAGCUAGUGGGAUCAUGAGUGUAUUGCUAAUAAUCAGCAUGUUAGUGGGAGCAUGAUAAUUAUGAUAAAGGUUGCAAGUUAGCAAUGUUAAUUAUAGAAAAACAAAAGUUUAAAUUCGUGGAGUUGCAGGGGUUGAAAAAGUUGUUUUGUUAUAAUUAAGGGAGAGGAAAUUAUACUUAAUUUCAAUUCUAAAAGCUUCGAUUGAGGUUUUAAUCAUCUUUAGUCAAGGAUAUAUAUGAAUUUUAUGUUGGAAUGGCUCAACAUAAGGAAAUUCUAUAUNAUAUAUAUAUAUAUUGGGUCCAUUAUUUGCGUUCUAAAAUUCGAUUAUGAUUACGGCAUCCCUUUUCAUAAUCUAAAUUAUGAGAACUUGGCAAAUAGAAAUAGCAUAGCAAAAGACUGGUCCGGUAUCAUGUCUUUAUGUGAGACAUCAUGAAUCGCGUCCCAUAUGCUUCGGAUAUAGGAUCGAUUGCAUGUGCUAUAAUAUUCAUCCUUUCUAAAAUUUUCCAAAUGCCCGGGGCAUUACGAAGAGAAAAGGUCAAGAAUCGGAUAUGACUAAAAUUAUUAAGCAAUUAUCGAGGACAAUCUAAGGUUUACCAAAGAUUGGUUGCUCUAGGACAAUUGGAGGUAUGGUGUUAACUUUGGAAGGACCAUAUUGAUAGAUUCUGAAAAGAUGUAACUCUUGUUCAAAAGUGAUAGUCAAAAUGGGAAUAUGGAUUUCUUCCCAUAGGUUGAAGUUAUUCAUCAAAUCUGUGUAAGAUUAGGAAACUUAAUGUAUGAAGGAUGUUAAACUUGAAUGUGAGACUUAGGUUCUAUGGAAUGAUCUCCAUUGGAAUACUCUGUAAUGUUUGUUGACAAGUCUUUGUGACUUUGUGCAUAAUCAUUACAAGAGGAUCAAUGCAUAUAAGUUUAGAAUCUAACAGAUUUAGGUAAAUAGCAGGAUUUGGAAUUCUUGCAUUUGCGGUAAGGAUUUGGGAUUGUGAAAUGAGAAUCAUUGGAAUUAUGUUCAAUUGAUCUAUUUCACAAAGUAAAGAUCAUAGACAAACUUAGUAUGCAUACUUGGUGUAUGGCAUGACUAGUGUUUAAAAAAACAUAGUGUACAUGCUUGGAGCAUGGGACAACUAUUGUUUUAAUUCAAGUAUAAAGUUGAUAGUUUGAAACAGUAUGCAAUGAAUGAUGGGUAAUCAAUAUGGUGAUAAAUAAAAGAUGUUUUAUUUAUAUUCAUAAGUUCUGAGACCAUAUUGGAUUCGAUUAUUCUUGUGUUUCACUUUGCAUGUUUUGACUUCCAGAAUAACUAGGUCGUUCUUCCUGAUUGACUAAGUUAUUCAAACCAUCCACAGUCGGUCAUAUGUUGGAAGUAGAUAUGAAUCAAGAUUGUCAUGGGUUUGCUUGUUGAGGUCUAAGAUGUUGGACAAAGUGGUGAUACAACACUCAUGAGUGCUCAUAAUUUCUGAGUAUUGGAUUUAAUCCACGCUCAUUGGAAUCACUUCAUGGAUUUUAUCACGAGUGAUCAUGAGACGAUAAUAUCUUAUAUUCUUCAAACCUAAAGAUAUGAGUUGUUACUAUGAGUUGGUUAUACAUUGAUUGCACGAAAACGCAUUGGUAACUCGAUGUUAUAAAAUGUGCAUUUGUGUAUGAUUCAACAAGUAGUAGAACAAGCCAUAUGAGUCGAAGUUUAUCCAUUCCUUUUACCUUUGGGAUAAAAGCAAUAUCUGUGGGCCCCUCGAUGAUUUAGUGAUGACACCCCGAAGUGCUUGGCCAAGCCAGGACUAAUGUGAUUUGUUCAAUUAGUCGGUCAUCAUAAAUCGGAAAUCAAGAAACAAAAAAUGGACAGAGAGAAUGAUUUUAAUCCAUGUCUCAAUCCAUAUGAUAUCUAGAAUGGAGGAAUAUAUGAUCCCUUAUCUAAUGGACAAGUCAUUGACAAAUGGCAGAGUUCAUCGACAAGGUCAGAGUUCGACAGCGGCUUUUGAGAGCUAUGAUUGCCAGUUGGUUUUUGAAGUCAUACGCAAUAAUAGUUUUAGACUUAUCUAAGUGGGAGGCUGUUAGAUUAGUGACUAAGUCCAUAACUACAUUUGGUACGUAAUUGACCCGACUCCGCAUGGUCCAUUUGGGUUGCAUGGCAUCAUGCAUUUGGAUAGACUAAAAUGAGAGAAAUAACACUUAAGGUUUGGUAAUAUAUUAUAAGUUCUAAUAUAUUAAUAAGAUUAUUUAAUUAGUAUUGAUCAAGAAUUAAUUUGGAAUUAAUUAAGUGAUCAAAAGGAGACUAAUUAAAUAUAUGGGUUGAUUGUGUAAAUCAUCCAUACUUGUAUAGUGGGCUAAUGCUCCAUGGAUUAUCAAGUUGGGCUAAAACCCAUAGGAUGCUCCAUGGAUGCUCCAUGGUGAUUUUGUACCCAUGGAUCAUGGAAAUGAAAGGCCAUGACAAUUAGGGUUUACAUGGUGUAACCCUAAUUGUGACACACUAUAUAAGCAUCUUAUUCUUGUCAAAAUCAGCCACCGUGAGAGACUAUGAAGGAAUGGUGAGGGCUAUUCGAUUUCAUGAAGUGUAUCAUUUCUCUCUAAGUUAUUCCAUGUGUAUUUGAUGUUGUGUGAACCAUUUGAGGUGUCACACUUGGGGCACUAGGCUCUCGAGCUUCAGGGAGUUAAGCUACAUCAACAAGGUAUGUAUUUCUAUCUAGUUUAUUAUUCAAGUAUCAAAAGAUUGUAUGCUAGUUAGGGUAAUACCUUGGA
RNAcentral lists this long non-coding RNA (7361 nucleotides) under Lactuca sativa (garden lettuce). RNAcentral's name for it is "long non-coding RNA (LSAT_LNC007654)". Lineage: Eukaryota; Viridiplantae; Streptophyta; Magnoliopsida; Asterales; Asteraceae. The record is from RNAcentral.